This 440-nucleotide ribosomal RNA is filed under the name uncultured bacterium. RNAcentral describes it as "partial 16S ribosomal RNA". It matches the Rfam family "Bacterial small subunit ribosomal RNA", at positions 338 to 795 of the family's 1533-position model. The record is from RNAcentral.
CCUACGGGUGGCAGCAGUGGGGAAUAUUGCACAAUGGGGGAAACCCUGAUGCAGCAACGCCGCGUGAGUGAUGACGGCCUUCGGGUUGUAAAGCUCUGUCUUCAGGGACGAUAAUGACGGUACGUGAGGAGGAAGCCACGGCUAACUACGUGCCAGCAGCCGCGGUAAUGCGUAGGGGGCGAACGUUGUCAGGAUUUACUGGGCGUAAAGUGAGCGUAGGCGGACGUUUAAGUGAGAUGUGAAAUACUCGGGCGCAACUUGAGUGCUGCAUUUCAAAGUGGAAGUCUUGAGUGCAGGACGGGAGAAUGGAAUUCCUAGUGUAGCGGUGAAAUGCGUAGAGAUUAGGAAGAACACCAGUGGCGAAGGCGAUUCUCUGGACUGUAACUGACGCUGAGGCUCGAAAGCGUGGGGAGCAAACAGGAUUAGAUACCCGAGUAGUC